GGUCUGGUAGCAUAGCGGUUAAUGUGUCGAGGUUCAUGCCCUCGAAGAGCCCUUGUUCGACUCGGGGCUGGACCG
Mycena rebaudengoi is the source of this 75-nucleotide non-coding RNA. NCBI's taxonomy places the organism in Eukaryota, Fungi, Basidiomycota, Agaricomycetes, Agaricales, Mycenaceae. The record is from the annotation of a GenBank genome assembly.